Molecule: non-coding RNA, 23 nt
Filed under: Arabidopsis thaliana (thale cress)
Lineage: Eukaryota; Viridiplantae; Streptophyta; Magnoliopsida; Brassicales; Brassicaceae
Source: RNAcentral
AAUCGUCUAUUGUGCAGUGGUAU